This 216-nucleotide long non-coding RNA is filed under the name Elaeis guineensis (African oil palm). Its description in RNAcentral is "long non-coding RNA (EGUI_LNC013791)". Lineage: Eukaryota; Viridiplantae; Streptophyta; Magnoliopsida; Arecales; Arecaceae. The record is from RNAcentral.
CCCGCACUUGGGGAGUUUUACCCUAUCUCAUUUCUUCUAGCUAACGUCCAAUUUAAUAAGGAGCCAGCCAUGGUGAUUUGGCGCCUUCGUUGUAUGUCAAGCACGUGGAAAUAUGCAUGGCUCGCGUUUGUUUGUCCUUUAGCUUUCAAGGUAACUUCCUGGUCUUGAAAAGCAAAGCGCCCUUUCAAUAAGGUGCAUUAACCUGUACCUGUUGGA